CCUACGGGAGGCAGCAGUGAGGAAUAUUGGUCAAUGGACGAGAGUCUGAACCAGCCAAGUAGCGUGAAGGAUGACUGCCCUAUGGGUUGUAAACUUCUUUUAUAUGGGAAUAAAAUGUUCCACGUGUGGGAUUUUGUAUGUACCAUAUGAAUAAGGAUCGGCUAACUCAGUGCCAGCAGCCGCGGUAAUACGGAGGAUCCGAGCGUUAUCCGGAUUUAUUGGGGUUAAAGGGAGCGUAGGUGGAUUGUUAAGUCAGUUGUGAAAGUUUGCGGCUCAACCGUAAAAUUGCAGUUGAAACUGGCAGUCUUGAGUACAGUAGAGGUGGGCGGAAUUCGUGGUGUAGCGGUGAAAUGCUUAGAUAUCACGAAGAACUCCGAUUGCGAAGGCAGUUCACUGGACUGCAACUGACACUGAGGCUCGAAAGUGUGGGUAUCAAACAGGAUUAGAUACCCGAGUAGUC
RNAcentral lists this ribosomal RNA (460 nucleotides) under uncultured bacterium. RNAcentral describes it as "partial 16S ribosomal RNA". It matches the Rfam family "Bacterial small subunit ribosomal RNA", at positions 338 to 795 of the family's 1533-position model. The record is from RNAcentral.